GAGCGGCGGGGCGGAGCCAAGUGAGCCAUCCACUCGGGCGGGAGGGGGAGUCCUCUGCUGUCGCUGCAGCCUGGAGGCGCCGGCCUAGCGGGGCACGUGGGGGCGGGUCGAAGAGACUGCGCGGAAGGAAGGAACAGGUGGACUAGGGGACGGGAAACGGCAGCCGGGCCAGCCUAGCCUCGGACGGGUAACCGCGCGGCCCCGCCUCAGGUCCCCUAGAGCCAGACGGACUCGGCUCCCUCCAGCUGAGGCCAGCGGAGAGAUUCCUGUCACGGCUUCCGUCCCAGCCGGCUCUUGCGGGAGCCCACGUUGUGCGUCCCGCGCGGACCCCGCGGCGGGUUUUACCGUUAACGGCCGGUGGCUGCAGCCCGCCGCGCCCGCCCCACCGAUCUGCUAGGUCUACACAAACUAAACUUUUAGAAGAUGAAUGAACUUAAAUUUAAAUAUCAAUACAUACCACCUGUGACUGUGCAUUUACCUGAGGAAAUCACCACUUCCAAGCUAUCUUCCUCCUCUGUGGAGGGCUUUGAAGCUCAAAUUGCAAGUCUAGUAGAAAUGUUUCUUGUAGAGGUAUACAGGUGUAAGCUUUGCCAAUUCACCAGCAGCAUAAAAAACAAAAUCAAGACACAUGUAUUUAACAUUCAUGAACAGGAUGGAUGCCACCCCAGUUCUGAAUGCCAAGAAAUUAGUACAGAUCCAGAUGAAAAUGAUUCCUAUAGUAUUGGAGAUGAAAUAAGUCAAGAAAACAAAGAGAAUGAAGAGAAUCUGGAGAAAAUGUCUUUCCUAUUGCCCAUGUACAGAAUGCUUCAUAACAUGAGUCCUGAAUGCUGUGAUAUGAACCUAGAUAAUCACAGUGUCAGUACCCAUGCACCCAAUGCAUGUGAUGUAAAUACACUAUUUGAAGAAGAAUCUGAACAAUUCCAUCUGGAGGAACCCUGUUCUAUGGUAUCUAAUCAACUUUCUGCCUAUUCAUCAGACCUCACAGAAUCUAAAAAAAGCAAGGAGGAUGAAGAAGCUCAGUCUGAACAUCUAAUGUCUCUUGGUUUGUGCCGUAUUUCUAGUGUGAAAUCUCUAGUCAUGGAACAAAAAGUGCCCAAACUAGGCACAAAACAGGAAAUGGGUAGAAGUCAGAAAAGAGAAAAAACUGACAAAAAUAACUUGUCUCAAGCAUUGAAAGAUAUUUAUUCACUAAAGAGCAGUGAUGAAAGACAUCUAUGCACCUCUUGUGACCGGAAGUUCAUGUCCAAAGAUGCCCUUGAAAUACAUGCUAAAUGUCAUAAUGGAAAUCAAGGAUUCCAAUGUCUUUACUGUAAUUUCAGUGUGACUGAGUGGAGUUUAAUGGAGAAACACUUAAAAUCUCAUAAGAAGGGGAAAAGGAGCUAUCGGUGUCUUACAUGUGAGAAAGUUUUUAUGACCCAAAGUGCCUGGAAAGUGCACAAAGAGAGUCACAAAAGGAGGCAAGGCAUUCUUCAGCAUCCGGAGAGCACAACCCUUUAUAAGACUGAGCUGGUAGAAAACCUCCCCUUGACCUGCCAUCAUGAAGAUAGCGAUUGGCCUAAGGUCCACAAACAUCUGAAUAGUUCCCAUGAGUAUAAAGCCAAACCACAUCCAUGUACUGAAUGUGAAAAAAAGUUCUUCAGAAUAACAGAUUUGAAGAAGCAUAUGUCCAAACACAAGAAAGCCAGGCCCUUUCUUUGUUCAUUAUGUGACCAGACAUUCAAAUACAGACGUCAGAUGAGCAGGCAUCAUAAGCAUGCACAUCAGAAACUGCAUAUAAAAGAGAGAAAAAAAAGAAAGAAAGCAGAGGUUAGCCUCAUUUAUUCAGGCACAGAAGCCACAGCCAGAACCAGGAAAAAUGCUGAUGAAUUUACCUGCAAAAUUUGCAACAGGAAAUGUUCCUCCAAAUUGGCCUUGCAGAGACAUAUGGGUAUACACGCUGGAGUUAAGCCCUUCCAUUGCCAGCACUGUGACUAUAAAACAAGACUGAAGGCUUCAUUGAUACAACACAUGCGGAUCCAUACUGAUGCUAAAAACAGCCAGAUGCUUCCUUAGGAUCAAAACUACACUGCAGUUUUCCACUGGCAGCCCACACUCCAGUUCCAUAAGCCUAAACAAAGGCCAUAGGUGUUGUUCCCAUUGCUUCCCAGGGGUGAAAAACCUUUUAAAUGUGAAAUUUGCUCAUAUGCCUCAAUCGAUGCCAGUUCCUUACGAAGACAUUUUAGGACUCACACAAGGGAGAGGCCCUACAAAUGUCAGCUUUGUUCAUAUAGUAGGUGACAUGAUGAAAAUAGUUCUUGUAUAGUUACUAGCACUAUGCUAAGUGCUAGGAAGACAGAAAGAAGAAAGUUUCUACUCUCAGAAAACAAGUGACCAUUUUUCAGGGAGGUAUUAUUAGUUUUAUGACUGGUAGUUUAAUAAAUUAUCAUUUGUUGAACUUUAGAGCUCUUGAUAGCACUAGGUCUAAUUCUUGAUUUUUACAUAUUUUGAAACCUACCCAUAAUGGUUAUGAUUUGCUAAUAGUUGUCACAGAAAUAUUUUUGCUCUAUAUGGUCUAUGGCCUUUUGUUUGUAAAUGUAUUAUGCUCCUCAGGGUACCUCUAAAGCAAUCAGAAAUGGUUUGAAUUUUUAAAAAUUAAAAUGUUAAAAAGUUGACAUUAAAAUUUUUAAACUCUUUGUACUACGCUUUAUUUUUCCCCGGAGCAACUGGAAACCUUUUCUAAUAUGUGGUAGUUGCAACACUUUGAGCUUGUACAAAGAAAUUUGGACUCCUUUAUCAUGAUUUUACUACUUGUACAAUGCUGUUGCUUAUACUAUCAUUGUCAACAGAAUUCAGUGACCAUUUAAUGUCAGGUUUAAAAAAGUUAGAAUUAGAGAAAACUGUUUCAUGAGUCAUGAUUUGAUUCACAGGUAUUUUCUAAAGAUUAGAUGUCAGCCAACAUGGGGUGCAGAGAAGACCAACAAAAUCACAAAUUUGCCUUUUAAGCUUACUUAAGUUUUAGAAACUAAUUUAAGGGAUACUUUAUGCCCUUCCCAGUAUUUAGUGUGUGGAUGUGCUAAAUAAUAAUAUUGGUUAUUUGUUAAAAAAUACAGGACUUACAGAGUUUGUAUAUAUUUGGUGAAAUCCAAAUUUAAUAUGGUAUUUGACUUUCAAGUAAUUUGUAGUGUGUUUACUAAACAAACUUAGCAUAUUUGUUUGAUAGGUAUAAAAAGAUGAAAAUUUAUUAAUUUGCCAAGUUUUGGUUUAUUAGCGAGGAUAUGUGCAUUAUUUGGAGAGUAAUAGUUUUACUUUGAACCUAGAAAUUACACAGUAAUUGAAUAUUUACAGAAUUGCUGAACUUCUUUGUAUUGCAUAAGAUAAGGAGUGAGAUAGUUCUGCCCUACAGAAUUGAACUAAAUUAUAACAUCAUUUUAGUUUAUCUGACUGAACUAGUAAUUGGCUCUUGAGGAAUUUCUUGACAUAAAGUAUGCGUAUAACAUUCUGGUUCAGAUUACAAAAUUCUGAAGCUUUAAUCUUUAGCUUUUUCUAAGACUUUCAAAAGUCCCUUGUUUCACCACUCCCCAACUGACAAAUGGUCAAGGGACAUGAAUAGGCAGUUUUCAGAUUAAGAAAUCAAAACUAUCAAUGAGCACAUGAAAACAUGUUCUAAAUCCCUCCUAAUUAGAGAAAUGUACAUAAAAAAAAAAAAACUCUGAAGUACCACCUCAUACCUAGCAGAUUGGCCAAUAUGACAGUAAAGUAAAAUAAUAAGUGUUGGAAGGAUUGUGGCAAAAUUGGGACACUAAUGCAUUGCUGGUGGAGUUGUGAAUUAAUCCAACCAUUCUGGAAGGCAAUUUGGAAUUAUGCACAAAAGGCUUUAAAAGAAUGCCUACCCUUUGAUCCAGCAUUGCCACUACUUGGUUUGUACCCCUAAGAGAAAAUAAUGUUUGUACAAAAAUUCAUGGCUGCACUCUUUGUGGUUACAAAAAAUAUUGGAAAAAUGAGGGGAUAUCCCUCAGAUGGUGAAUGGUUGAACAAAUUGUGGGAUCUGAUGGUGAGGGAAUACUAUUGUCCUGAAAAGAGUGAUGAACUGGAGGAUUUCUAUAUGAAUUGGAAAGACCUCCAAGAAUUGAUGCAGAGUGAAAUGAGCAGAACCAAGAGAUCAUUGUACACAGAAACUGAAACAUUGUGGAACAAUCAAUUGUAAUUGACUUUGCUACUAAAAGCAAUGUAAUGAUCCAGGACAGCUGAGGGACUUAUGAGAAAGAAUGCUAUUCACGUUGAGAGAAAGAACUAUGGGAGUAGAAAUGCAAAAGAAAAACUUAUGACUUAUUACUCAUCACUUGUUUAUAUGGGUAUAUGAUUUGAGGUUUGGGCUUUAAAAGUUUGCCCUGUGGUAAAAACGAAUAAUGUGGAAAUAGGUAUCAAAUGAUAACAUUUGUACAACCCAGUGGAAUUGCUUGUCAGCCCUGGGAGAGAAAGAAAUGAAUCAUGUAAACAUGGAAAAACAUUAAAAAAAAUAAAAUGAAAAUGAAAAAAAAGUUCCUUAUUUCAGAAACAAACACUCUUGCCUCCAUUCUAAUAAAAUUUCAAAAUACUUAGCCAUUUUUUUUAA
Non-coding RNA from Monodelphis domestica (gray short-tailed opossum), 4591 nucleotides. The record is from RefSeq and is a predicted model, not a curated record. Lineage: Eukaryota; Metazoa; Chordata; Mammalia; Didelphimorphia; Didelphidae.